UCUUCAAUCGAGCCAACAACCAGCCAAUCACAUCACGCUCCGAAGAUCACGUGACAGGUACCGCCUCACGGCCAGCAGUAGGGCAGAGAACCGCUCAAUGCGGCUCACAGCCCCCUCCGCUGCUGCUCUCGAGUAGGUUGAAAAGAAGAUGGAGAAGUUUCAGCUUGCAGCUAUGGAGAGUUCACCACGAAAAGAACGAAGUCAAAGAAUACAAAGAUCUGUCCAUAUUCUGAAGUCACCACUUGAAGAUUUUAUGCAGAAUUAUUUGGAUUAUGAAUAGGAACCACAUUAUUUGCAACAGCUUUUAUUAUUUAUACAAACAAGAUGAACAUGAUAUGAUGUGCCAGAAUAUAGGGAGGCUGCCUAAAACACACAAAAAAAUACAGAACACAUGUAAACAACUAAAGAAAAACAGAACAUGGCACAUGUAAAUAAAUCAAAUAAACACAGCACAGACUGCAUGAAAUUGGAUUUCUUUAUUUGUUCUUUAAAAGUUUGGAGAAAGGAAACCUGUGGAAUACAAAAGAAACUUGAAAAAUUACUGCAUUUGAUACAUGAAUAUAAUUAAACAUUUUAAGAACAUUA
Molecule: long non-coding RNA, 585 nt
Organism: Astyanax mexicanus (Mexican tetra)
Lineage: Eukaryota; Metazoa; Chordata; Actinopteri; Characiformes; Acestrorhamphidae
Exons: 2
Source: RefSeq, a predicted model, not a curated record